This 403-nucleotide ribosomal RNA is filed under the name uncultured soil bacterium. RNAcentral describes it as "bacterial SSU rRNA". It matches the Rfam family "Bacterial small subunit ribosomal RNA", at positions 975 to 1375 of the family's 1533-position model. The record is from RNAcentral.
CAGCUCUUGACAUGCCCGGUAUGGGUGGGAGAGAUCCCAUUCUUCAGUUCGGCUGGCCGGGACACAGGUGCUGCAUGGCUGUCGUCAGCUCGUGUCGUGAGAUGUUGGGUUAAGUCCCGCAACGAGCGCAACCCCCAUCUGCAGUUGCCAUCGGGUGAGCCGGGCACUCUGCAGAAACUGCCGGUGACAAGCCGGAGGAAGGCGGGGAUGACGUCAAGUCCUCAUGGCCCUUAUGGGCUGGGCUACACACGUGCUACAAUGGCGGUGACAGAGGGCGGCAGAGGGGCGACCCCGAGCCAAUCUCAAAAAGCCGUCUCAGUUCGGAUUGCUCUCUGCAACUCGAGAGCAUGAAGUCGGAAUCGCUAGUAAUCGCGGAUCAGCAUGCCGCGGUGAAUACGUUCCC